GACCUUGUGGCGCAAUGGAAGCGCGUCGGUUUCCGGAGCCGAAGGUUGCGGGUCUGAGUCCCGCCAGGGCAUUUCA
Molecule: transfer RNA, 76 nt
Filed under: Perkinsus olseni
Lineage: Eukaryota; Perkinsozoa; Perkinsida; Perkinsidae
Description: tRNA-Arg
Rfam family: tRNA
About the family: Transfer RNA (tRNA) molecules are approximately 80 nucleotides in length. Their secondary structure includes four short double-helical elements and three loops (D, anti-codon, and T loops).
Source: RNAcentral